GACGAACGCUGGCGGCGCGCCUAACACAUGCAAGUCGAACGAGCGAGCGAGAGCUUGCUUUCUCGAGCGAGUGGCGAACGGGUGAGUAACGCGUGAGGAACCUGCCUCAAAGAGGGGGACAACAGUUGGAAACGACUGCUAAUACCGCAUAAGCCCACGGUGCCGCAUGGCACAGAGGGAAAAGGAGCAAUCCGCUUUGAGAUGGCCUCGCGUCCGAUUAGCUAGUUGGUGAGGUAAUGGCCCACCAAGGCGACGAUCGGUAGCCGGACUGAGAGGUUGAACGGCCACAUUGGGACUGAGACACGGCCCAGAAUCCUACGGGAGGGAGCAGUGGGGAAUAUUGCACAAUGGGGGAAACCCUGAUGCAGCGACGCCGCGUGGAGGAAGAAGGUCUUCGGAUUGUAAACUCCUGUUGUAGGGGAAGAUAAUGACGGUACCCAACAAGGAAGUGACGGCUAACUACGUA
Molecule: ribosomal RNA, 466 nt
Filed under: uncultured bacterium
Lineage: Bacteria
Description: partial 16S ribosomal RNA
Rfam family: Bacterial small subunit ribosomal RNA
Source: RNAcentral